CACUGUGUGUUCCUACGUGUGAACCCCGGUUUUGAAGGCUAUCUCAUUUAGUCUGCUCCGUCUUUCACAGGUCAGCCGUGGGUUCUUCUAAGUGUCUAAACAGGCGGAUCCACACGGUGGCUCGGGAUUCUUGUCUGGGAUCUACCUCUGUAGUUUUGGCAAAAGCAGUUUUCCUUGAACUGUAUUUGAAUUGGUUUUCCUAAGUAUGAACCUUGAAUGAGCCUCUCUCUUAGCUGCAUUAAAGACGAGAUUUGUGUCAGAUUAGAUCAAGGAUUCAAAGCUGACAAAUGCUUUCCUCAACUGCAGAGGCACUUGGAAGCACAGAAUUCAGGAAUGACUGUUAACGGAGGUUAGUUUCUCUGGGGUAGCUUUCCUGAAAGGGAGACUCAGACUGCUUGCAUUGCCAGGCAGUCCUCUGAAGGAGACAUUUUCUUAGCCUUCCUCUGAAAGAAACCCGGAGGCAGAGCUGGACGAGGACGCUUCUGUCUGUUGAGGGCGUGCUGUGCACCAGGCACCGUGAUAAGGGCUUUACCUGUGUUACCUCACUGAAUCCUCAGAGCAGCCUUCGAGGCAGGUUCUCCUAAUAUCCCCAUUUUACAGGUGAGGAAACUGAGGGACAACGCUGUUAAGUAACUCAUUCAAACUUACCCAGUCAGUAAGUGACAGAGCUGGGAUUCAAACCCAGGCAGCUGCAAUUUCAACAUCGUACUGCCUUUCCUGGAUGACCAAGCACCAGCUUCUUGGGCACCCCCCAAUCCCCUCUAACUGCUUCGGGUGCUGGGGGGAGUUUGCACACCACUUCAUUAAAAGAAAGCGUGUAAGUCUGAGAGAAAGCCAGCAAUAACACAACGCAACAAGGGUUAGGGAAAGCGGGCGGCUUAAAGGGUGGCCUCUGGAGUCAAUGGCCAGGGUUUGUCAGGGACAGAAGACAAAGAGAAAGUCUGCUGGGGUGAGGGAGACGUUCUUGUGCAGCUCAGGAUUCUCAGGGCAGUAGGCUGGUUGUGGACUCAGGCAAAAGCUUUGCAUCUGAAAGUCUGGAGCUCUCUGCUCUGUCAGGCGGUUGGAUGUGGACUAGAACCCAAAUGAAAGUCGGACGGGGCCAAGCAGGAGGUCGGCGCUGGUUGCAGCUUGCUGAAUAGUCGUGGUUUGACAGCGCCUGUCCCGCGGCGGCUCUGCUGCGCGGCGUGAUGCCUCUGGUGACGGAGGAGCUCGCCGCGCCUGCCGAGGGAGCCCUCUCCCGGCAGGGUGUUCCUUGUGGAUGCACAUCGGUGUCUGGAUGCUGGGGAGCAGCAGUAAAACCGCCUGAUUUAGGGUACAGACUGCAUCUAAUUCCUUCUUUCUUCUGUUAAAUCACAGCAAAGGGGACCACUUUAGACGGCUAAUAGAUUACCCAGCAUCUGUGCACUAUUUCGCAUGCGUUUAGCAAGGGAAAAUAGCUUGCCCGCAGGAGCUGUAGAGUGUUUGGGAGUAAAGUGAGCAGAUCUUGUUGAUUCAUUUUUUAUCCAUAUCCAGUGAAGACCUUCAGAGACAAGACGAAAUGAAUGGGAAAGGUCAGAAAAUCCCAGAAACUUAUGAUAUUCUAAAAUGAGAAUGGAAGAUUGGGCGUCAUUUCACCUCUGAGUAGACACAGCCUUUACCGUUGAAGAAUUAUGGAGAACUGUGGCUGAUUAUUCCAAAGGGAAUGAAGAGGGCCGUGAAAGAUACCAGUGCUCUCCGUCGGGUGAAAUAACAGUGAGUCUCACAGACGGUGAUGGUGAUGGGCAUCGAUGAGUGACCACGGGUCACAGGCCAGGAAUCCACGGAGCGGAAAGCCUGAAGACCGAGUCUCUCCUUCCCGGAGACUCUCCUUCAGAGGGGCGGAGGCGGGCGCGGCCUCCUCAGUCCCCUGCGCAGUGUCCCCUCUUUUCCCCUUGCCGGGGAAGCCUGCUCACGCUCCUCCCCACCAAAGUGGCAUUUCCUCGCAGUCAGAGUUGCGGUUGCUUAGCUCCAGACUAUCUUCAGCCACUACCUGGGUGGCAAUGUUGGUGUUGGUAAGAAGAACAGAACAGAAACGUCCCUUCUCCACAACCCCUGCUGCACUGUGACCGCGAGUCUUCUGCCACAACUCCCCUCUGACGGCCCUUUCCCCUCCAGUCCCCCAGGGCCGUCCCAGUGGCUCCCCAGGCAGGAGGCAGGAGUCCCUGUGGUCUGCUCCUCAGUCUUUUUCUUCGGCGGGAGGUGUGUGCUUUGAAACGCCCUUUUGGCCUGGAAUGGCCCCCCAUGAUCCUUUU
This 2270-nucleotide long non-coding RNA is filed under the name Equus caballus (horse). RNAcentral describes it as "lncRNA (ENSECAG00000046309.1)". Lineage: Eukaryota; Metazoa; Chordata; Mammalia; Perissodactyla; Equidae. The record is from RNAcentral.